This 465-nucleotide ribosomal RNA is filed under the name uncultured bacterium. RNAcentral describes it as "partial 16S ribosomal RNA". It matches the Rfam family "Bacterial small subunit ribosomal RNA", at positions 28 to 507 of the family's 1533-position model. The record is from RNAcentral.
GACGAACGCUGGCGGCGUGCUUAACACAUGCAAGUCGAACGGAAAGGCCCUGCUUGCAGGGUAUUCGAGUGGCGAACGGGUGAGUAACACGUGGGUGAUCUGCCCUGCACUUCGGGAUAAGCCUGGGAAACUGGGUCUAAUACCGGAUAGGAGCCAUUUUUAGUGUGAUGGUUGGAAAGUUUUUUCGGUGUAGGAUGAGCUCGCGGCCUAUCAGCUUGUCGGUGGGGUAAUGGCCUACCAAGGCGGCGACGGGUAGCCGGCCUGAGAGGGUGGACGGCCACAUUGGGACUGAGAUACGGCCCAGACUCCUACGGGAGGCAGCAGUGGGGAAUAUUGCACAAUGGGCGCAAGCCUGAUGCAGCGACGCCGCGUGGGGGAUGACGGCCUUCGGGUUGUAAACUCCUUUCGCUAGGGACGAAGCUUUUUGUGACGGUACCUAGAUAAGAAGCACCGGCUAACUACGUG